Molecule: ribosomal RNA, 431 nt
Filed under: uncultured bacterium
Lineage: Bacteria
Description: partial 16S ribosomal RNA
Rfam family: Bacterial small subunit ribosomal RNA
Source: RNAcentral
CCUACGGGGGGCAGCAGUGGGGAAUCUUGCGCAAUGCGCGAAAGCGUGACGCAGCAACGCCGCGUGGGGGAAGACGGCCUUCGGGUUGUAAACCCCUUUCAGGAGGGACGCGGUACCUCCAGAAGAAGCUCCGGCUAACUACGUGCCAGCAGCCGCGGUAAUACGUAGGGAGCAAGCGUUGUCCGGAAUCAUUGGGCGUAAAGCGCGCGUAGGUGGCCAUGUAAGUCCGCUGUGAAAGUCAAAGGCUCAACCUUGGAAAGCCGGUGGAUACUGCAUGGCUAGAGUACGGAAGAGGCGAGUGGAAUUCCUGGUGUAGCGGUGGAAUGCGCAGAUAUCAGGAGGAACACCAAUAGCGAAGGCAGCUCGCUGGCGUUACUGACACUGAGGCGCGAAAGCGUGGGGAGCGAACAGGAUUAGAUACCCGUGUAGUC